This 368-nucleotide ribosomal RNA is filed under the name uncultured Lactobacillus sp. RNAcentral's name for it is "bacterial SSU rRNA". It matches the Rfam family "Bacterial small subunit ribosomal RNA", at positions 155 to 524 of the family's 1533-position model. Lineage: Bacteria; Bacillati; Bacillota; Bacilli; Lactobacillales; Lactobacillaceae. The record is from RNAcentral.
AACAACAGAUGAUGCCUAUCAACUGUUUUAAAAGAAUGGUUACUGCUAUCACUCUUGGAUGGACCUGCGGUGCAUUAGCUAGUUGGUAGGGUAACGGCCUACCAAGGCGAUGAUGCAUAGCCCGAGUUGAGAGACUGAUCGGCCACAUUGGGACUGAGACACGGCCCAAACUCCUACGGGAGGCAGCAGUAGGGAAUCUUCCACAAUGGACGCAAGUCUGAUGGAGCAACGCCGCGUGAGUGAAGUAAGGGUUUCGGCUACGUAAAGCUCUGUUGUUGGUGAAGAAGACGAGGGGUAGUAACUGACCUUUGUUUGACGGUAAUCAAUUAGAAAGUCACGGCUAACUACGUGCCAGCAGCCGCGGUAAU